RNAcentral lists this ribosomal RNA (231 nucleotides) under uncultured bacterium. RNAcentral describes it as "partial 16S ribosomal RNA". It matches the Rfam family "Bacterial small subunit ribosomal RNA", at positions 104 to 334 of the family's 1533-position model. The record is from RNAcentral.
CGGGGUGGAGUAAUGUCUGGGAAACGUGCCUGAUGAGGGGGGAUAACUGCUGGAAACGGUAGCUAAUACCGCAUAACGUCGCAAGACCAAAGAGGGGGACCUUCGGGCCUCUUGCCAUCGGAUGUGCCCAGAUGGGAUUAGCUAGUAGGUGGGGUAACGGCUCACCUAGGCGACGAUCCCUAGCUGGUCUGAGAGGAUGACCAGCCACACUGGAACUGAGACACGGUCCAG